This 1038-nucleotide long non-coding RNA is filed under the name Androctonus crassicauda. Lineage: Eukaryota; Metazoa; Arthropoda; Arachnida; Scorpiones; Buthidae. The record is from RNAcentral.
AGACAUUCAUCCAUGGAGCCUAAUCUUUUGUACCCCUCAUACAGAUUCUCGAAAUUUUCUGCAGAUUCUUUCAUUUGUAUCUGCACUUUUUGUCUUCCUACAUUCCUCCAUCUUCUGAAUAGAUUCAUCUUUAAGAUUUCCACAUGGUCAGAUUGGAUCACCAUCUGGAAAUCUUGUUUGCAAUUCUCACCACUUGUCUCCAUAAUCUCUGUAAAUCUUAUUACUCAGCCAAGUUGAUCAGUCCUCUGAUCUCUCUUAUUGUUCUCCUAGCUAUGCUGAUGGGUGAUCUUUUUCUUGAUAAAGUGUUCAAAAUAAAUAGUCCUCUCUUGGCACAUAUCAAUUACACUUUCUUGUCAUUCAUUCCAAUAUCACUAUGCUUAGUUCAGUUCGUAUCUCUCUUGGAUAUAUAUCUUUGAAGGACAAUUAUUCUGUUCCACCAAAAGAUACUACAAAUUUGUGUGACAGCUUAAUCAUAGAUACUACAUUAAGAAAUGGCAUCCUGCCAGACCCAUGGUACUAUUCUUUGGAAUGUCCAAAUAAUUCUAACUUGUACAUAAAAUCAAUGGGCUGUUUCCUUGAGCCACCAUUGCCCAAUAACAAUUAUAAAAAAUUAAGUUGUUGUGUUGUCACAACACUAUAAUAUAGUUUCAUAUAAGUAUUGUUGGGCAUGUCACUUUCAUUUCUUUUCCAGAGGAUUAAGAUGAUUAGAGGCUGCUCCAGGGAGAGUCCGGAAACUGCAGAUAGUCUUUUCCCAACAAAAAAGUCUAAAUUAUUUGGUUGAGGAUGGAUUAAUCAUUCAAUUACAUUUUAGUACUCCCCAAGGUUAUGGUACAUGCACACUUGGCUAUGCAUAAGAAAUUUUCAACUGUUUGCUUGCAAGAUACAGAUCUGUUGUAUGGGGUCAUGCUAUUAUUAUUAUUUACUGAUAAAAGGAGAUGGAUGCUAUUUUUAUUUACUAAAAAAAGAUGUUUGGUUAAAAAGCUUGGAGAUCACUAAACUGCAUCACUUGGUUUUCAAAGGGCACAAGAUUUUUUUGAU